AGGGAUAUAACUCAGUGGUAGAGUGUCAUCUUGACGUGGUGAAAGUCGUCAGUUCAAAACUGAUUAUCCCUA
Molecule: transfer RNA, 72 nt
Filed under: Papuacedrus papuana
Lineage: Eukaryota; Viridiplantae; Streptophyta; Pinopsida; Cupressales; Cupressaceae
Description: tRNA-Val
Rfam family: tRNA
About the family: Transfer RNA (tRNA) molecules are approximately 80 nucleotides in length. Their secondary structure includes four short double-helical elements and three loops (D, anti-codon, and T loops). Further hydrogen bonds mediate the characteristic L-shaped molecular structure. tRNAs have two regions of fundamental functional importance: the anti-codon, which is responsible for specific mRNA codon recognition, and the 3' end, to which the tRNAs corresponding amino acid is attached (by aminoacyl-tRNA synthetases). tRNAs cope with the degeneracy of the genetic code in two manners: having more than one tRNA (with a specific anti-codon) for a particular amino acid; and 'wobble' base-pairing, i.e. permitting non-standard base-pairing at the 3rd anti-codon position.
Source: RNAcentral